AGCUGCAGUGGUACGGCAGACUAGAGGCGGUAGGGAGAUUGAACUCCUGGGUAGCGGUGAAUGCGCAGAUAUCAGGAGAACACCGAUGGCGAGGCAGAUCUCUGGCCGUACUGACGCUGAGGAGCGAAAGCAUGGGAGCGAACAGGAUUAGAUACCCUGGUAGUCCAUGCCGUAAACGUUGGGAACUAGAUGUAGGGUCCAUUCCACGGAUUCUGUGUCGCAGCUAACGCAUUAAGUUCCCCGCCUGGGGAGUACGGCCGCAAGGCUAAACUCAAAGGAAUUGACGGGGGCCCGCACAAGCCGGCGGAGCAUGCGGAUUAAUUCGAUGCAACGCGAAGAACCUUACCAAGGCUUGACAUAUACCGGAAAAGGCUGGAAACAGUCUCCCCGCAAGGUCGGUAUACAGGUGGUGCAUGGUUGUCGUCAGCUCGUGUCGUGAGAUGUUGGGUUAAGUCCCGCAACGAGCGCAACCCUCGUUCUAUGUUGCCAGCACGUAAUGGUGGGAACUCAUAGGAGACUGCCGGGGUCAACUCGGAGGAAGGUGGGGAUGACGUCAAAUCAUCAUGCCCCUUAUGUCUUGGGCUUCACGCAUGCUACAAUGGCCGAUACAAAGGGCUGCAAUACCGUAAGGUGGAGCGAAUCCCAAAAAGUCGGUCUCAGUUCGGAUUGAGGUCUGCAACUCGACCUCAUGAAGUCGGAGUCGCUAGUAAUCGCAGAUCAGCAACGCUGCGGUGAAUACGUUCCCGGGCCUUGUACACACCGCCCGUCAAGUCAUGAAAGUCGGUAACA
Molecule: ribosomal RNA, 789 nt
Filed under: Microbacteriaceae bacterium
Lineage: Bacteria; Bacillati; Actinomycetota; Actinomycetes; Micrococcales; Microbacteriaceae
Description: bacterial SSU rRNA
Rfam family: Bacterial small subunit ribosomal RNA
Source: RNAcentral